Xenopus tropicalis (tropical clawed frog) is the source of this 371-nucleotide long non-coding RNA. RefSeq lists it as uncharacterized. The transcript is spliced from 3 exons. NCBI's taxonomy places the organism in Eukaryota, Metazoa, Chordata, Amphibia, Anura, Pipidae. The record is from RefSeq and is a predicted model, not a curated record.
CUAAACAAUCAACAAAUCUAUUCAACUGAAAAUCAGACAAUUAAUAAGGAUAUUGUUAAAGAAGAAGAAACAAUAUCAGUUCUACAAAAUGAAGAUCCUCCGACAGUUCAAGAAGAACCAGUCCCGAUACCAGAAAAAACACUAACUUUUGAAGAAAUGCUGGCAGAACUUUCCUCUGUAGAUGACAGUUUCAGCAAGAAGGAAGCGAAGCUGCUCAGAAUGAUGGAGUCUAUAGAGAGGAUUACAGCCAAUGUGGAGGCUAUUAGUGAAGAGGAACAGAAGAGAAGAGACGCUGAGCGUCUCCUGUCUCGUACCACUUCUUCAGAGGGACAAAUAGAAAGCUUUCUGAACAGCAUGAAAGUUGACAAGGU